Molecule: ribosomal RNA, 362 nt
Filed under: uncultured bacterium
Lineage: Bacteria
Description: partial 16S ribosomal RNA
Rfam family: Bacterial small subunit ribosomal RNA
Source: RNAcentral
CCUACGGGCGGCAGCAGUGAGGAAUAUUGGUCAAUGGACGGAAGUCUGAACCAGCCACGCCGCGUGCAGGAAGACGGCUCUAUGAGUUGUAAACUGCUUUUGUACGAGGGUAAACGCAGAUACGUGUAUCUGUCUGAAAGUACCGUACGUAUAAGGAUCGGCUAACUCCGUGACAACAGCCGCGGUAAUACGGAGGAUACAAGCGUUACCCGGAUUUAUUGGGUUUAAAGGGUGCGUAGGCGGUCGGAUAAGUUAGAGGUGAAAUCCCGAGGCUCAACUGCGGAAUUGCCUCUGAUACUGUUCGGCUAGAGAGUAGUUGCGGUAAGCGGAAUGUAAGGUGUAGCGGUGAAAUGCUUAGAGAU